AGUAACGCGUGGGUAACCUGCCUCAUACAGGGGGAUAACAGUUAGAAAUGACUGCUAAUACCGCAUAAGCACACAGUACCGCAUGGUACAGUGUGAAAAACUCCGGUGGUAUGAGAUGGACCUGCGUCUGAUUAGCUAGUUGGCGGGGUAACGGCCCACCAAGGCGACGAUCAGUAGCCGACCUGAGAGGGUGACCGGCCACAUUGGGACUGAGACACGGCCCAG
Molecule: ribosomal RNA, 225 nt
Filed under: uncultured bacterium
Lineage: Bacteria
Description: partial 16S ribosomal RNA
Rfam family: Bacterial small subunit ribosomal RNA
Source: RNAcentral